GUGGGGAAUCUUCCGCAAUGGACGAAAGUCUGACGGAGCAACGCCGCGUGAACGAUGACGGCCUUCGGGUUGUAAAGUUCUGUUAUACGGGACGAAUGGUACGACGGCCAAUACCCGUCGUAAGUGACGGUACCGUAAGAGAAAGCCACGGCUAACUACGUGCCAGCAGCCGCGGUAAUACGUAGGUGGCAAGCGUUGUCCGGAAUUAUUGGGCGUAAAGGGCGCGCAGGCGGCGUCGUAAGUCGGUCUUAAAAGUGCGGGGCUUAACCCCGUGAGGGGACCGAAACUGCGAUGCUAGAGUAUCGGAGAGGAAAGCGGAAUUCCUAGUGUAGCGGUGAAAUGCGUAGAUAUUAGGAGGAACACCAGUGGCGAAAGCGGCUUUCUGGACGACAACUGACUCUGAGGCGCGAAAGCCAGGGGAGCAAACGGGAUUAGAAACCCUAGUAGUCC
Molecule: ribosomal RNA, 450 nt
Filed under: uncultured bacterium
Lineage: Bacteria
Description: partial 16S ribosomal RNA
Rfam family: Bacterial small subunit ribosomal RNA
Source: RNAcentral